RNAcentral lists this ribosomal RNA (61 nucleotides) under Stereum hirsutum. RNAcentral describes it as "partial 28S ribosomal RNA". The record is from RNAcentral. Lineage: Eukaryota; Fungi; Basidiomycota; Agaricomycetes; Russulales; Stereaceae.
UUGACCUCAAAUCAGGUGGGACUACCCGCUGAACUUAAGCAUAUCAAAUAACCGGAAGAAA